This 120-nucleotide ribosomal RNA is filed under the name Salvator merianae (Argentine black and white tegu). Lineage: Eukaryota; Metazoa; Chordata; Lepidosauria; Squamata; Teiidae. The record is from RNAcentral.
GUCUUUAUCAACAUUUAGGCUGCCCCUGGCUAACCCCGUCUGAGCUUAGAAACUAAUUCAGGUUGGACUUGGUUAGUUCUUGGAUGGGAUACCACCUGGAGAUCCCAGGAGCUGCGGACU